AGGACAGAUAGUUGAGGGGAAGAGAGGAGAGGCAAGAGGAUUAAGAUACAAACGCGCAACCGAAAGAAACAAAUUUGAUAUUUCUUUUCAGUAGCAAAAAUGGGUAAAUCACUAAUGUUUAAACGCUUUAAGUUUUUCUGGGGAAAACACCACUUUAAUUUUUACAAGUUUCCGUACCCACGUUUUUGACACACGGGUGCUCACAGACACCAACCGGUCACUGCAAGCGCCGCCGGUACAAGCCAGCCCCUCUUUACCCCCACCAUCAAUUGUAGAACGUUCUCAGGGACGACAUUUUUAGGAUGCUCAAUAAUUAUUAAAUUGAGAAUAUAUCAAUGAAGUUUAAUGAGAUUUCAUAAUAUUACUUAACUUUAUAAAAUGUUUUAUGAUUGGUGGAUUAUAUAUGAUUUCGAGAAUCGAAAUUUGGAAUAAUCGGAUAUCGAAACAACAGAUUUCUACCAAUAAAGUUAUUUACUUUUAUAUA
Long non-coding RNA from Apis dorsata (giant honeybee), 484 nucleotides. RefSeq lists it as uncharacterized. The record is from RefSeq and is a predicted model, not a curated record. NCBI's taxonomy places the organism in Eukaryota, Metazoa, Arthropoda, Insecta, Hymenoptera, Apidae. The transcript has 2 exons.